This 392-nucleotide unclassified non-coding RNA is filed under the name Hevea brasiliensis (rubber tree). Lineage: Eukaryota; Viridiplantae; Streptophyta; Magnoliopsida; Malpighiales; Euphorbiaceae. The record is from RNAcentral.
GGGAAAAGAAGUUCACGGCCCUUGGACCCUCUACCUUCAUAGGACAUUGCUCUGUAAGGCUUUUGCCCAUUGCAGAAAAUUCCUCAAUGUUGCCUCCCAUAGGAGUCUGGGAUGUCCGAACUAAUGAGCACCUAAAGCAGCAUUGAGUGAUCCCCCUCCCUGACACUGAUACCCUAGGAAGUACAUAUUGUGCCAACUUUCUUUGUUGACUCACCUUACAACCAGAUAUUUUUCUUCGCAUGGUUGAAUUACUUGAAACCCAAAGAAAGAAUUUGAUCAUCUCUCGCUUUACUUUGCUAGUAAAGCAAAGAUUUCUCUCCAAUAUAAAACAUAAAAAAAAAAUUCUUCAUUCAUCUAUCUUUCUAUACUACCUUGAAAGCAUGAACUCUCUG